GUGUCAGCCGCCGCGGUAAAACGUAGGAGGCGAGCGUUAUCCGGAUUCACUGGGUGUAAAGCGCGUGCAGGCGGUUUGGUAAGUUGGGCGUGAAAUCUCCUGGCUCAACUAGGAGAGGUCGUUCAAUACUACCAGGCUAGAGAGUGGUAGAGGAAGAUGGAAUUCCCGGUGUAGUGGUGAAAUGCGUAGAUAUCGGGAGGAACACCAGUGGCGAAGGCGAUCUUCUGGACCAUUUCUGACGCUCAGACGCGACAGCUAGGGUAGCAAACGGGAUUAGAAACCCCUGUAGUCC
This 292-nucleotide ribosomal RNA is filed under the name uncultured bacterium. RNAcentral's name for it is "partial 16S ribosomal RNA". It matches the Rfam family "Bacterial small subunit ribosomal RNA", at positions 505 to 796 of the family's 1533-position model. The record is from RNAcentral.